This 1981-nucleotide long non-coding RNA is filed under the name Rattus norvegicus (Norway rat). RNAcentral describes it as "long non-coding RNA NONRATT004067". The record is from RNAcentral. Lineage: Eukaryota; Metazoa; Chordata; Mammalia; Rodentia; Muridae.
UCCUCAUCCUCCUCCUCUUCCUCCUCUUCCUCCUCUUCCUCUUCUUCCUCUUCCUCUUCCUCUUCCUCCUCCUCUUCUUCCUCCUCUUCCUCCUCCCCCUCCCCUGCUAAGCCUGGCCCUCAGGCAUUACCCAAACCUGCAAGCCCCAAGAAGCCACCCCCUGGCGAGAGGAGGUGAGUGCUUUCUUGCCUGUUGUGGAAGGGGGGUUGGGGUGAGUUCUCCAGAAAAGGGACCCUGGGUGAGGUUCCUGCUGGGGUGCCUCGAGUGGACGUCUGUGUUUGGUUGUAAGGGAGACGGAGUGCCGGACUCCUCCCAUUCUCCCACAGUGUUGUAUUCUGGUCAAGGGCUGCACUAUCCAACUGAGGUCCCAGGCCAUAUCUUGGGAAGUCAUAGGAUUCUUCUCCCUCUCCCCUCCCCUGACAAGCAGCCUGCUCCCAGAGGUUCUAGCUCUAAGUCUCCCCAUUGCUGCUGCAGGGCUCUGGUCUGGCCACCGUCAUCUCCUCCCGACUCUGUCCACAGCCUCCUCCCUGUCUCCCUGCCUCCACGCCAUUCUCUUCCACACGUAGCCAGAGGGAUCUUUCUAAAACGCACAUCUGGUUACUUCCCUUCACUCCACAAAUCCUUCCGGAACGCCCUGUGGCCUGCAGGAUAAAGUGCCACCUCUGCGGGAAUGGCGUGUGAGGCUCUUCGCCAGCUGCCCUUGCCCGCCCUGUGCUCCUCCUGCCCGCCCCCACACAUGCCCCGUGCUCCGGCCAUACCCAGCGCCUUGCAGUCUAAGGAGAGCCCCAUGCCUUUGGACAUGCUGUUCCUUCUGCCUGGGAUUUCCUUGUCUGCCUGGUGAACUCGUUCUGCAAGACUGCAUUCAAACAGCACCUCCGAGAAGACUGCCCUGCCAUUUCCCUGUCCUGCCCAGGUCCCCAUCCUUGCUCUGGAUCCCCAGGCCCAUGUAUAUCCAUCCUGCUGGGCUGUUUUCUGUGUAGGGGGCAUGUGUGCCUUCAUUGUUGAACUCCAUUACUACCAAACAAAAUUCUUCCAAGGGCAGGGACUCUUUUAUCUUUGCAUCCCCCGCUGCACCCUUGUGCCCUGUCCACUGGGGCACUCGGUGGAUGGUGUGCGGGCGGAUGGGUGAGUGCGGAAAAAGGUGGGUCUGAGGCUGGCCCUGUGUGGUGUGAGGUUUGGUGGUCAGGACCUGGGUGGGUGGUCCUGAAUGCUUGGCUGGUGGGUUUGGGAGGAUGUGGUGCUAUAGAGGCCUACUCUGCUCUCUAGGUCUCGCAGUCCUCGGAAGCCAAUAGACUCCCUUCGGGAUUCCCGAUCCCUCAGUUACUCACCUGUUGAGCGUCGACAGCCCUCACCCCAACCCUCACCAAGGGAUCAACAGAGCAGUGAGCGGGUUUCCUGGAGAGGCCAGCGAGGGGACAGUCAUUCUCCUGGCCACAAGAGGAGGAAGGAGACACCUAGUCCCCGGUCUAACCGUCACCGCUCCUCCAGGUCUCCAUAAUCUGGAUUCCACACCUCAUACUCUGGAGACAUGAGUAUUCCUCAUUUUCCCAGAAGAAUCACGGGAGGAAUCUUGUAUGCCUUCCCUUGAACCUUGGCAGCAUCUUGAGGGGAGAGCUCCCCCCAUCCCCUUUUUUUUGUUCCUGUGAAAUGUUGAUCUCUGUGAGUUUUUCCUGGUUCAUGUGUUUUGGGGGGGUGGAGUGGGAGGGAAUGUUAGUUUAGGGAGGGAAGGGCACAGCUCAGGACAUCUAGGAUUGUGAUGAUCCAGGGAACUAGUCCUCCGAAUUCUAGGGUGACUGAUGGUUUGGGGACUUGGUAAGUCAACACGACUUUGAAGAAGGAGCUGAAGUUGGUUGGCCCUGCUGCACCCCCUUAACAAGGUUGUAAGACCCUCCCCCCCCCAACUUUGUUUCUUAAGGCAUUUUGGUUUUUUAAAAUCUGUACAGCAAAAAGCAACUUUUCUGUCAAAUAAAAAUGAGAAAUG